GAUGAACGCUAGCUACAGGCUUAACACAUGCAAGUCGAGGGGCAGCAUGGUCUUAGCUUGCUAAGGCCGAUGGCGACCGGCCACGGGUGAGUAACACGUAUCCAACCUGCCGUCUACUCUUGGACAGCCUUCUGAAAGGAAGAUUAAUACAAGAUGGCAUCAUGAGUUCACAUGUUCACAUGAUUAAAGGUAUUCCGGUAGACGAUGGGGAUGCGUUCCAUUAGAUAGUAGGCGGGGUAACGGCCCACCUAGUCUUCGAUGGAUAGGGGUUCUGAGAGGAAGGUCCCCCACAUUGGAACUGAGACACGGUCCAAACUCCUACGGGAGGCAGCAGUGAGGAAUAUUGGUCAAUGGGCGAGAGCCUGAACCAGCCAAGUAGCGUGAAGGAUGACUGCCCUAUGGGUUGUAAACUUCUUUUAUAAAGGAAUAAAGUCGGGUAUGUAUACCCGUUUGCAUGUACUUUAUGAAUAAGGAUCGGCUAACUCCGUG
Molecule: ribosomal RNA, 489 nt
Filed under: uncultured bacterium
Lineage: Bacteria
Description: partial 16S ribosomal RNA
Rfam family: Bacterial small subunit ribosomal RNA
Source: RNAcentral